This is a non-coding RNA of Cordylochernes scorpioides, 72 nucleotides long. The record is from the annotation of a GenBank genome assembly. NCBI's taxonomy places the organism in Eukaryota, Metazoa, Arthropoda, Arachnida, Pseudoscorpiones, Chernetidae.
AAGCUCCAACCAGAUUUGAGAUUGGGUGGUUAGAUUCCUAGUCUGACAUGCUAACUACUACACCAUGGAGCC